AAUAUUGCAAAAUGGGCGCAAGCCUGAUGCAGCAACGCCGCGUGCGCGACGAAGGACAUAGGGACGUAAAGCGCUUUUCGGAGAGAUAAGCACGGACAGAAUCCCCGGAAGAAGGAUCGGCUAACUACGUGCCAGCAGCCGCGGUAAAACGUAGGAUCCGAGCGUUAUCCGAAUUCACUGGGCGUAAAGCGCAUGCAGGCGGCCGCACAAGUUGGAUGUGAAAUCUCCCGGCUCAACUGGGAGGGGACGUUCAAAACUGUGCGGCUCGAGGGCGGUAGAGGAAGGUAGAAUUCCCGGUGUAGUGGUGAAAUGCGUAGAUAUCAGGAGGAAUACCCGUGGCGAAGGCGACCUUCUGGACCGUUUCUGACGCUCAGAUGCGAAAGCUAGGGGAGCGAACGGG
This 400-nucleotide ribosomal RNA is filed under the name uncultured bacterium. RNAcentral describes it as "partial 16S ribosomal RNA". It matches the Rfam family "Bacterial small subunit ribosomal RNA", at positions 360 to 776 of the family's 1533-position model. The record is from RNAcentral.